Molecule: unclassified non-coding RNA, 361 nt
Filed under: Hevea brasiliensis (rubber tree)
Lineage: Eukaryota; Viridiplantae; Streptophyta; Magnoliopsida; Malpighiales; Euphorbiaceae
Source: RNAcentral
UUUCUUUGAUGCCAACUUGGCCCUCACAAAGCAGCCUCCAAAGUUUGACUUCAAUGACCCGAAGACCCCGUUCUACACUUCUGCUAGGUUCUUACCUCCUACAAAAGUUGACAAAAGCAGGAUAGUGGAUGCAAUAAUUUCACAUGGCUGCUUUCUGAGGGAAUGUAACAUUCAGCACUCCAUAGUUGGUGUACGAUCACGCUUAGACUAUGGUGUUGAGUUUAAGGAUACCAUGAUGAUGGGUGCAGAUUAUUAUCAAACUGAAUCCGAGAUUGCUUCACUAUUAGCAGAAGGAAAGGUUCCAAUAGGGGUCGGGCCAAACACUAAGAUACAGAAAUGCAUAAUUGACAAGAACGCAAAG